UACGGAGGGUGCGAGCGUUAAUCGGAAUUACUGGGCGUAAAGCGUGCGCAGGCGGCUUUGCAAGACAGAUGUGAAAUCCCCGGGCUCAACCUGGGAAUUGCGCUUGUGACUGCAAAGCUGGAGUGCGGCAGAGGGGGAUGGAAUUCCGCGUGUAGCAGUGAAAUGCGUAGAUAUGCGGAGGAACACCGAUGGCGAAGGCAAUCCCCUGGGCCUGCACUGACGCUCAUGCACGAAAGCGUGGGGAGCAAACAGG
RNAcentral lists this ribosomal RNA (253 nucleotides) under uncultured bacterium. RNAcentral describes it as "partial 16S ribosomal RNA". It matches the Rfam family "Bacterial small subunit ribosomal RNA", at positions 524 to 776 of the family's 1533-position model. The record is from RNAcentral.